CUACGGGAUGCAGCAGUAGGGAAUUUUCGGCAAUGGGGGAAACCCUGACCGAGCAACGCCGCGUGAAUGACGAAGUACUUCGGUAUGUAAAGUUCUUUUAUUAGGGAAGAAUGGCAGGUGGAAAAACCUGAUUGACGGUACCUAAUGAAUAAGCCCCGGCUAACUAUGUGCCAGCAGCCGCGGUAAUACAUAGGGGGCAAGCGUUAUCCGGAAUUAUUGGGCGUAAAGGGUGCGUAGGUGGUUAUUUAAGUCUUUGGUGUAAGUGCAGUGCUUAACGCUGUGAUGCUAAAGAAACUGGGUAACUUGAGUGUGGUAGAGGCAAGUGGAAUUCCAUGUGUAGCGGUAAAAUGCGUAAAUAUAUGGAGGAACACCAGUGGCGAAGGCGGCUUGCUGGGCCACAACUGACACUGAGGCACGAAAGCGUGGGGAGCAAACAGGAUUAGAUACCCCAGUAGUC
Molecule: ribosomal RNA, 457 nt
Filed under: uncultured bacterium
Lineage: Bacteria
Description: partial 16S ribosomal RNA
Rfam family: Bacterial small subunit ribosomal RNA
Source: RNAcentral